AUUGAACGCUGGCGGAAUGCUUUACACAUGCAAGUCGAACGGUAGAGGCGGCAACCCCUCGAGAGUGGCGAACGGGUGAGUAAUAUAUCGGAACGUGCCCAGUCGUGGGUGAUAACGUAGAGAAAGUUACGCUAAUACCGCAUACGAUCUAAGGAUGAAAGCGGGGGACCGUAAGGCCCCGAGCGAUUGGAGCGGCCGAUAUCCGAUGAGGUAGUUGUUGAGGUAAAGGCUCACCAAGCCAACGAGCUGUAGCUGGUCUGAGAGGACGACCAGCCACACUGGAACUGAGACACGGUCCAGACUCCUACGGGAGGCAGCAGUGGGGAAUUUUGGACAAUGGACGCAAGUCUGAUCCAGCGAUUCCGCGUGCAGGAUGAAGGCCCUCGGGUUGUAAACUGCUUUUGUACGGAACGAAAAGGUCUCUCCUAAUACGAGGGGCUCAUGACGGUACCGUAAGAAUAAGCACCGGCUAACUACGUGCCAGCCGCCGCAGUAA
RNAcentral lists this ribosomal RNA (496 nucleotides) under uncultured bacterium. Its description in RNAcentral is "partial 16S ribosomal RNA". It matches the Rfam family "Bacterial small subunit ribosomal RNA", at positions 30 to 523 of the family's 1533-position model. The record is from RNAcentral.